UACGAGUGCUUCGAGCGUUAUCCGGAAUCAUUGGGCGUAAAGGGUGCGUAGGUGGCGAUGUUAGUCUCGCGUUAAAUCUUUCGGCUCAACCGAGAGGCUGCGUGGGAAACGGCAUUGCUUGAGGACGGAAGAGGUCUCUGGAACUCUAAGUGUAGCGGUGAAAUGCGUUGAUAUUUAGGGGAACACCAAAAGCGAAGGCAAGAGACUGGUCCGCUCCUGACACUGAAGCACGAAAGCGUGGGUCGCGAAUGGG
RNAcentral lists this ribosomal RNA (253 nucleotides) under uncultured bacterium. RNAcentral's name for it is "partial 16S ribosomal RNA". It matches the Rfam family "Bacterial small subunit ribosomal RNA", at positions 524 to 776 of the family's 1533-position model. The record is from RNAcentral.